AUACUUACCUGGCAGAGGAGAUACCAUGAUCACAAAGGUUGUUUUCCCAGGGCGAGCCUUAUCCAUUGUAUUCCGGAUGUGCUGACCUCUGCAUUUCCCCAAAUGUGGGAAACUCGGCUGCAUAAUUUGUCGUAGUUAAGGACUGCAUUCAUGCUCUCCCCUA
Small nuclear RNA from Echinops telfairi (small Madagascar hedgehog), 163 nucleotides. RefSeq annotates it as U1 spliceosomal RNA. The transcript has a single exon. NCBI's taxonomy places the organism in Eukaryota, Metazoa, Chordata, Mammalia, Afrosoricida, Tenrecidae. The record is from RefSeq and is a predicted model, not a curated record.